AUGUGGAAGUGCUCGAAAGAGAACUGGAACACAGGUGCUGCAUGGCUGUCGUCAGCUCGUGUUGUGAGAUGUUGGGUUAAGUCCCGCAACGAGCGCAACCCUUGUCAUUAGUUGCUACGAAAGGGCACUCUAAUGAAACUGCCGGUGACAAACCGGAGGAAGGUGGGGAUGACGUCAAGUCCUCAUGGCCCUUAUGGGUAGGGCUUCACACGUCAUACAAUGGUCGGUACAGAGGGCUGCCAACCCGUAAGGGGGAGCCAAUCCUUUAAACCGAUCGUAGUCCGGAUUGAGGUCUGCAACUCGACCUCAUGAAGUCGGAAUCGCUAGUAAUCGCGGAUCAGCAUGUCGCGGUGAAUACGUUCCCGGGCCUU
RNAcentral lists this ribosomal RNA (371 nucleotides) under uncultured Alcaligenaceae bacterium. RNAcentral describes it as "bacterial SSU rRNA". It matches the Rfam family "Bacterial small subunit ribosomal RNA", at positions 1006 to 1382 of the family's 1533-position model. Lineage: Bacteria; Pseudomonadati; Pseudomonadota; Betaproteobacteria; Burkholderiales; Alcaligenaceae. The record is from RNAcentral.